GUGCUCGCUCUGGCAGCACAUAUACUGAAAUUGGAACAAUACAGAGAAGAUUAG
Sorex araneus (European shrew) is the source of this 54-nucleotide small nuclear RNA. Lineage: Eukaryota; Metazoa; Chordata; Mammalia; Eulipotyphla; Soricidae. The record is from Ensembl.